UUAGAGGCGGAUACCCAAUCCUCAUAAUUGCAGAAGAUAUUGAACAAGAAGCCUUAGCU
This 59-nucleotide small RNA is filed under the name Arabidopsis thaliana (thale cress). RNAcentral's name for it is "ATSL137360". The record is from RNAcentral. Lineage: Eukaryota; Viridiplantae; Streptophyta; Magnoliopsida; Brassicales; Brassicaceae.